AGGCAGAAGUCUUUGGAGAGCUACUGAAGAGUGAACUGGUUAGAAUUAGUCCUGUGACAAAGGCUCAAACAAUUGCUGUUAGAUUCUACCUUGCUGCCCUUAAAUGUAUUCAAGAAGAGGACAUAAGGGAUUUGUGUAAAGGAAGACUGAAUUAUGCAGAAGCUAAGAUUAUCUGACUUACAAAGUUCCUUCAAAAUUUUAUGCUGAAUCCCAAAUGCCUUCUGCUUCAUCAUGCUUUAGUUACAAAAGGGAUUACAUCAAGACUAAUAUCUCAAAUUUCCCUGGAUUUUUUACCCUACCUGUGUUUAGCAGGACGUCAGCUUCCUGCUAAAUGACCUCCUAUAAAUGCGCAAGUACCCAGGCAUUUCAAAUAUGCCUCCACAGUCCUCUAAGUCUACUCAUAUCCUCUCAUCAGUAAUAUGUGCUGAUUAUAAAGCCACUUGAGGAUGGAGCCUCCCCACUUGUUGGUGCCCUCAGUCUGAAUUCCAGUCCUCAGCCAAAGGUGACGAAUCUCAAGGUUACAGCAAUUCAAGUUCCAAAAUGACAAAGAACCAAGCUGGCUUCACUCCCUCCACCCCCACAGAAAAUGGAAAACAAAUAUACAGCACCAAUUUAUCAUCAGCAAUAUCCCAGAAUUCAAACGUGAGGAAGAGACAGUUCUCAGGGCCACAAAGAAGUGAAAAAACUCCAGGCAAGCUGUAAGGUAUUUGAUGCCUUUCCCCAUAAUCUGCCCACCACGAAGUGUGUGGAAUACUUCCCCCAACUCACAGUUUCUACACUGGAUCUCAGUCCUGGAAACUGUUCCUUAACUCAAUCAAAGGAGAUGCCAAAUCAGAGGGGCUAUUCCACAGCACCAUGCUACAGGAGGUAUAUUCCAUAGAUCCCCUGGGCAUGAGCCCCUGGCCAGCCUCCCAACACUGCCAGAAUAUCCCCUUUGGACUUUUCCCAUUCAGUAUGGGCAGCAACCCAAUCAUUUACUACAGCCAGGCAAACUUUGGCUUAAGGUACCAUCCAGCAACAAAAAGAAGGCAGCAACCUAGAAAAAAAAAAUCAACAGGUAAACUAAAAAGAAUCUCUAAGAAAACAAGUCAAGUAAAAAACAAAACAAGCCAGACAGGGAAGAUUGGAAUAAAUAACCUUUCAAUGCAAAGACAUAGAAAGACAUCCCCAAGAAGCAAUAGCAAACAGGAAACCAUUAUCUCUCCAAAUGGACAAACCAAGGAACCAGCUACUGAUGCCACUGAGAGAGUGAUAUGUGAGCUCUCUCACAUAAAAAAAUAGCAGUUUUAAGGAAAUUCAGUGAUCUCCAAGUUAACACAGAAAGCAAUUCAGGAAUUCAUCUGAGAAAUUUAGCAACAAUAUUAAAAUAAUUUUUAAAAAACAAAAAUCUUGCAACUGAGAAAUACAUUGGCUGAACUGAAAAAAAUCAUUAGAGGCUCUCAACAACAGAAUGGAUCAAGCAGAGGAAAGAAUCGGAGAGCUUGAAGACAAGCAUUUGAAAAUACGAUCAGAGGAGAAAGAAGAAAAACAAUGAAAAAUAUGAAGAUGAUCUACAUGAAAUAGAAUAUUACCAGAAAAGACCAAAUCUAAGAAUUAUUUGUGUCUAAGAGGGAGUUGAACAAGAGCAAAAGGUAAAAGCUUCAAAGAAAUAAUGUUGAAAUUUUUCCAAAACUUGAGAAAUACAUAAAUAUCCAGGUAGAGGAAGGUCAGAGAAUAUCAAAGAGAUUCGACCCAAAUAAUACUAACUCAAGUCAUCUAAUAAUCAAAUCCUCAAAGGUAAAGGAUAAAGAGAGGAUCCUAAAAGCAGCUAGAAGAAAGAAGCAAGUAACAUAUAAAGGACUCCAAUUCAUCUGAUAAUUUCAAGAGAAAUUCAUCUGAUAAUUUCAAGGGAUGUUAGAGGCCUCACACUACCUAACUUCAAAAUGUACUACAAAGCUAUGGUAACCAAAUCAGUAUGGUACUGGCAUAAAAACAGACACAUAGACCAAUGAAACAGAAUAGAGAAUCCAGACAUAAACCCAUGCAUUUAUAGCCAACUCACUUUCUUUCUUUUUUUUUUUUAAUUAUACCUUAAGUUUUAGGGUACAUGUGCACAAUGUGCAGGUUUGUUACGUAUGUAUAUAUGUGCCAUGUUGGUGUGCUGCACCCAUUAACUCGUCAUUUACAUUAGGUAUAUCUCCUAAUGCUAUCCCUCCCCCCUCCCCCCACCCCAUGACAGGCCCUAGUGUGUGGUGCUCCCCACCCUGUGUCCAGGUGUUCUCAUUGUUCAAUUCCCACCUAUGAGUGAGAACAUGCGGUGUUUGGUUUUCUGUCUUUGCAAUAGUUUGCUCAGAAUGAUGGUUUCCAGCUUCAUCCAUGACCCUACAAAGGACAUGAACUCAUCCUUUUUUAUGGCUGCAUAGUAUUCGAUAGCCAACUCAUUUUCAACAAAGGCACCAAGAACAUUCAUAGGGUGAAAGGAUAGUCUUUUCAAUACACUGUGCUGGGAAAACUGGAUAUUCAUAUACAGAAGAAUGAAACUAGAAUCCUAUCUUUCACCAUAUAAAAAAAUCAAAUCAAGAUGGAUUAAAAACUUAUAUUGAAGACCCAAAACUGUGAAAUUACUAGAAGAAAACAUUGGGAAAAUGUUCCAGGACAUAGAUCUGGGCAAAGAUUUUGAAUAAGGCCUCAAAAUCACAGGCAGCCAAAGCAAAAACAGACAAAUGGGAUUCUAUCAAGCUUAAAAGCUUCUGCACAGAAAAGAAAACAAUAAACAAAAUGAAGAGACAACCCAUAUAAUGGCAGAAAAUAUUUGCAAACUAUCCAUGUAGCAAGGAAUUGAUAACCAGAAUAUAUAAAGAGCUCAAACAACUCAGUAGCAAAAAACCAACUAAUCCAAUUUAAAAGUGGGCAAAAGAUCUGAACAGACAUUUCUCAGAGGAAAACAUACAAAUGACCAACAGGUAUAUGAAAAAUGUUCAACAUCACUAAUAAUCAGAGAAAUGCAAAUCAAAUCACAAUGAGAUAUCUUCUCACCCCAGUUAAAAUGACUUCUUCAAAAAGACAAGGAUAAGGGAUACUGGUGAGGAUGUGGAAAAAGGAGAACUCUCAUACACUUGGUGGGGACAUAAAUUAGUAUAGCCACUAUGGAGAAGAGUUUGGCGGUUCCUCAAAAAACUAAAAAUAGAACUAUCAUAUGAUCCAGCAACUGCACUACUGAGUAUACAUCCAAAAGAAAUGAAAUUAAUGUAUUAAAGAGAUAUCUGCACUCCCAUGUUUAAUGCAGCACUAUUCACAAUAGCCAAAAUAUAAAAUCAACCUAAAUGCCUAUCAAUGGAUAAACAGAUAAUGUGACAUAUAUAUAGAAUGGAAUAUUAUUUGGCCAUAAAAAGAAUGAAAUCCUGUCAUUUGCAGCAACAUGGAUGGAACUGGAGGUCAUUAUGUUAAGUGAAAUAAGCCAAGCACAGAAGACCAAAUAUUACAUGUUCUCACUCAUGUAGGAACUACAAAAGUGGAUCUCAUGAAGAUCUCUAGAAAGUAGAUUGAUGGUUACCAGAGGCCAGAAAGGGCAGAGGGAAGGAGCAUAAGGAGGUUGAUAAAUGGAUACAAAUAUACAAUUAGAUAGAAAUAAGACCUAGUGUUUGAUAGAUCAGUAGGAUGAUACUAGUUAACAAUAAUCUAUUGUACAUUUCAAAAUAGCCAGAAGAGAAAAAUUUGAAUAUUACCAGCAUAAAGAUAAGAUAUUUAGGUAAUGGAUAUCCCAACUACCUUGAUUUGGUCUUUACAUAUUAUAUGAAUGUGUCAAAAUAUCCUAUGUAUCCCCAAAAUAUGUAUAUGUAUUAUACAUCAAUAAAAAAU
This 3837-nucleotide long non-coding RNA is filed under the name Homo sapiens (human). RNAcentral describes it as "HSALNT0141612". The record is from RNAcentral. Lineage: Eukaryota; Metazoa; Chordata; Mammalia; Primates; Hominidae.